This 561-nucleotide ribosomal RNA is filed under the name uncultured bacterium. RNAcentral's name for it is "bacterial SSU rRNA". It matches the Rfam family "Bacterial small subunit ribosomal RNA", at positions 55 to 611 of the family's 1533-position model. The record is from RNAcentral.
AUGCAAGUCGUGCGAGAAAGUACCUUCGGGUGCGAGUAGAGCGGCGGACGGGUGAGUUACGCGUAGGAAUCUACCUAGUAGAAGGGGAUAGCCCGAGGAAACUUGGAUUAAUACCGUAUACCUCCUUAGGGAGAAAGAGGGCUUAGCUUUGAUGCUCUCGCUAUUAGAUGAGCCUGCGUAAGAUUAGCUUGUUGGUGAGGUAAUGGCUCACCAAGGCGACGAUCUUUAGCUGGUCUGAGAGGACGAUCAGCCACAUUGGGACUGAGACACGGCCCAGACUCCUACGGGAGGCAGCAGUGGGGAAUAUUGGACAAUGGGCGCAAGCCUGAUCCAGCCAUACCGCGUGUGUGAAGAAGGCUUUCGGGUUGUAAAGCACUUUAAGUAAGGAGGAAAAGAUUGUGAGUUAUACCUGCAAUCCGUGACGUUACUUACAGAAUAAGGACCGGCUAAUUCCGUGCCAGCAGCCGCGGUAAUACGGAAGGUCCAAGCGUUAAUCGGAAUUACUGGGCGUAAAGCGCGCGUAGGUNGUUUUUUAAGUUGGAUGUGAAAGCCCUGGGCUCA